AGCGACGCCGCGUGUGGGAAGAAGGCCUUCGGGUUGUAAACCACUGUCGGGAGUUAAGAAGUGAAGGGGGGUUAAUAGUCUCCUUACCUGACGUUAGCUCCGGAGGAAGCCACGGCUAACACUGUGCCAGCAGCCGCGGUAAUACAGAGGUGGCAAGCGUUGUUCGGAAUUAUUGGGCGUAAAGAGCACGCAGGCGGCCCUGCAAGUCUGCUGUGAAAUGCUUCUGCUCAACGGAAGAACGGCAGUUGAUACUAUAGGGCUCGAGUACGGGAGGGGAGAGUGGAACUUCUGGUGGAGCGGUGAAAUGCGUAGAUAUCAGAAGGAACGCCGGCGGCGAAAGCGACUCUCUGGUCCGAAACUGACGCUGAGUGUGCGAAAGCUAGGGGAGCAAACGGGAUUAGAUACCCCGGUAGUCCUAGCCGUAAACGAUGGGCACUAAUUAGAGGGGUUUUAA
This 454-nucleotide ribosomal RNA is filed under the name uncultured bacterium. RNAcentral describes it as "bacterial SSU rRNA". It matches the Rfam family "Bacterial small subunit ribosomal RNA", at positions 390 to 834 of the family's 1533-position model. The record is from RNAcentral.